GAUGAACGCUGGCGGCGUGCUUAAUACAUGCAAGUCGAACGAAGAGCCUUUGUAGCAAUACGGAGGUUUCUUAGUGGCGAACGGGUGCGUAACGCGUUGGUGACCUGCCCUAAAGUGUGGGAUAACAGUUCGAAAGGACUGCUAAUACCGCAUGUGAUCAUCGGGAUUAGAAGCUGAUGAUUAAAGGAGAAAUUCGCUUUAGGAGGGACCUGCGUCCCAUCAGCUAGUUGGUGAGGUAAUGGCCCACCAAGGCUACGGACGGGUAGGGGACCUGAGAGGGUGGUCCCCCACAUUGGCACUGAAACACGGGCCAAACACCUACGGGAGGCUG
RNAcentral lists this ribosomal RNA (331 nucleotides) under uncultured Chloroflexota bacterium. RNAcentral describes it as "bacterial SSU rRNA". It matches the Rfam family "Bacterial small subunit ribosomal RNA", at positions 28 to 351 of the family's 1533-position model. Lineage: Bacteria; Bacillati; Chloroflexota. The record is from RNAcentral.